UAGCGGAGGAAAAGAAACUAUACAAGGAUUCCCCUAGUAACGGCGAAGUGAACCGGGAAAAGCUUCAAAUUUGAAAUCUGGCGUCCUCAGGGCGUCCGAGUUGUAAUCUAUAGAGGCGUUUUCCGUGCCGGACCGUGUCCAAGUCCCUUGGAACAGGGUAUCAAAGAGGGUGACAAUCCCGUACUUGACACGACUACCGGUGCUCUGUGAUACGUCUUCUACGAGUCGAGUUGUUUGGGAAUGCAGCUCAAAAUGGGUGGUGAGUUCCAUCUAAAGCUAAAUAUUGGCGAGAGACCGAUAGCGAACAAGUACCGUGAGGGAAAGAUGAAAAGCACUUUGGAAAGAGAGUUAAACAGUACGUGAAAUUGUUGAAAGGGAAACGAUUGAAGUCAGUCGUGACCGAGAGGCUCAGCCGGCUCUGCCGGUGUAUUCCCCUCGGUCGGGUCAACAUCAGUUUUGUCCGGUGGAUAAGGGCGGUAGGAAGGUGGCACCCACGGGUGUGUUAUAGCCUGCCGUCGCAUACACUGGGUGAGACUGAGGAAUGCAGCUCGCCUUUAUGGCCGGGGUUCGCCCACGUCCGAGCUUAGGAUGUUGACAUAAUUGGCUUGUAAACGACCCGUCUAA
RNAcentral lists this ribosomal RNA (624 nucleotides) under Papiliotrema laurentii. Its description in RNAcentral is "eukaryotic LSU rRNA". It matches the Rfam family "Eukaryotic large subunit ribosomal RNA", at positions 48 to 656 of the family's 3401-position model. The record is from RNAcentral. Lineage: Eukaryota; Fungi; Basidiomycota; Tremellomycetes; Tremellales; Rhynchogastremaceae.